This 1531-nucleotide ribosomal RNA is filed under the name Candidatus Nomurabacteria bacterium. Its description in RNAcentral is "bacterial SSU rRNA". It matches the Rfam family "Bacterial small subunit ribosomal RNA". Lineage: Bacteria; Candidatus Nomuraibacteriota. The record is from RNAcentral.
UAGGAUAAGAGUUUGAUCCUAGCUCAGGAUGAACGCUGGCGGCGUGGAUAAGGCAUGCAAGUCAAACGAUUCUAUGUGUUUACAUAUAGGAAAGUGGCAGACUGGGUAGUAACAGGUGGGUAUGUACCCGAAAGUCAUGAAUAAUUGCGAGAAAUCGUAACUAAUACAUGAUAUCUCUUCGGAGGAAAGAUUUAUCGCUUUCGGAACAGCCUGCUGAGUAUCAGCUUGUUGGUAGUGUAAAGGACUACCAAGGCUAUGACGCUUAGGGGAGGUGAGAGCCUGACCCCCACCAUUGGCACUGAGACACUGGCCAAACUCCUACGGGAGGCUGCAGUCGAGAAUCUUCCGCAAUGCACGAAAGUGUGACGGAGCGACGCCGCGUGAUUGAUGAAGUACUUCGGUAUGUAAAAAUCUUUUAUACGUGAGGAAAUUAUUGACGUUAGCGUAUGAAUAAGGGGCUCCUAACCUCGUGCCAGCAGGAGCGGUAAUACGAGGGCCCCAAGCGUUAUCCGGAAUUAUUGGGCGUAAAGGGUGCGUAGGCGGUUAUGUUAGUCAGAAGUGAAAGAUCCAGGCUCAACCUGGAAAACACUUUUGAAACGGCAUAACUCGAGUUCACAAGAGGUAUACGGAACUCAUGGUGUAGGGGUGAAAUCCGUUGAUAUCAUGGGGAACACCAAAUGCGAAGGCAGUAUACUGGGGUGACACUGACGCUGAGGCACGAAACCUUGGGUAGCGAAGGGGAUUAGAUACCCCCGUAGUCCAAGGCCUAAACGAUCCAGACUAGCUUUUUGGAGUAUCGACCCUCUGAGAGGCGUAGCUAACGCGUUAAGUCUGGCGCCUGGGAAGUACGGUCGCAAGGCUAAAACUCAAAGGAAUAGACGGGGACUCGCACAAUCGGUGGAGCGUGUGGUUUAAUUCGAUGCUAAGCGAAGAACCUUACCAGGGUUAGAAAUCUAGCUGUGGGUGUCCAGAAACGGACACCGUCUUUGAGAUCGCUAGACAGGUGUUGCAUGGUUGUCGUCAGUUCGUGGCUUGAGCUGUACCGUUAAGUCGGAUAACGAACGAAACCCUCGUCGUGUGUUAUAUAUGUCACACGAGACUGCCCCCUCUGAGAUGAUAAUUGUCAUCCUGAAUUUAUUUCAGGAUCUUGAUAAAUUAUUGUCGUUUCAGAGGGGGGAGGAAGGCGAGGAUGACGCCAAAUCAGCAUGACCCUUGAUACCCUGGGCUACACACGCGCUACAAUGGGUGGUACAACAGGUUGCGAAGCGGUAACGCGGAGCCAAUCCCAUAAAACCAUCCUCAGUUCGGAUAGAGGUCUGCAACUCGACCUCUUGAAGUCGGAAUCGAUAGUAAUGGCAGGUCAGCACACUGCCGUGAAUACGUUCUCGAGUCUUGUACUCACCGCCCGUCAAGUCAAGGGAGCCGGGGGUACCCGAAGUCUGCAUUUAUGUGGCCGAAGGUAAACUUGGUGACAGGGACUAAGUCGUAACAAGGCACGGCUAGCGGAAGCUGGUCGUGGAACAAUUCCAUU